CGACCCCAGGUCAGGCGGGACUACCCGCUGAGUUUAAGCAUAUCAAUAA
Molecule: ribosomal RNA, 49 nt
Filed under: Centella asiatica (Asiatic pennywort)
Lineage: Eukaryota; Viridiplantae; Streptophyta; Magnoliopsida; Apiales; Apiaceae
Also listed under: 1 other name
Description: partial 28S ribosomal RNA
Source: RNAcentral